This 205-nucleotide long non-coding RNA is filed under the name Gossypium barbadense (sea-island cotton). RNAcentral describes it as "long non-coding RNA (GBAR_LNC003241)". The record is from RNAcentral. Lineage: Eukaryota; Viridiplantae; Streptophyta; Magnoliopsida; Malvales; Malvaceae.
UACUAGUCAUAUAUCAUUGUUCUUACAAUUUUUAUAUACCAUUCUUUCAUCACUUUUCAAUAUAUUAAAUCAUGUCAUUCAUGCAAUAAUAAUAUAUAAUUUUCAAUUCAAACAUAGCAUUGCAAUAUUAUUGACAUACGAACAUACCUCGACACGAAAAUCUAACCGUCAAUUUUCCAUUUUUCACCCGAUCUAGGUCCAGUCC